Molecule: RNA transcript, 2464 nt
Organism: Zea mays
Lineage: Eukaryota; Viridiplantae; Streptophyta; Magnoliopsida; Poales; Poaceae
Gene name: 40S ribosomal protein S23-like
Exons: 8
Source: RefSeq, a predicted model, not a curated record
UAUUUGGUGUUAGUUUUUUACACAUGUGAAAGCUAUUUGCUUCAGUACAUAGAUCUCUGCAGAUGAUAAAGUAAUACUAGGCUUGAUAGUAUUGUCCAUCAUUUGCUUCAGUAUAUAGAUCUUUGCUUCAGUACAUAUCUCUCACUUCUUAUCCAAGUGUUUGCUCCCAGUUCUAUAGCACUCUGCAGAUGAUUUGCUUCAAUACUUAGUGGCUAUUUUUUCUACUACACUGGUUAAAGAAAAACAGAGAAAAGAAAAUCUGCAUGUGUAUUAUAGUUAACCUAUCAUAUAUAUAUGAAAGUGUAAGUUGUUGCCUUGAAAAACUUGAGAUGCACUCAAAUAACGCAAGCAGAGAGUAUUUACUCAAUCUAAAUAAUGAAAUAAAUUUACUUAGUUUGAUGGUUCACAUAACACAACAGCCAAAUAAACAAUUUAAAUUAGUCAGUUUUUUGUCAUUCUAAAUAAUGAAAUAGUUAUUAUUAAUACCAUGGGAUAUUCUAAUUUUGUGAAGGCAUCUACCAGAAUAGGAAAAGGUUAUUAUUAAUACCAAGGUUGCUAGCUUCGAAAUACCUGAAGUGCUACUGCUAUCAGUUCUUAGACUUUGGUUUAAAUCAUCUAAAUUUUUUCUAUUGUUCUGUCAGGUCUAGACACUCUAUGAGUUCGAUGAUCUCGAGAGCAUCAUUGAUAGGACACUAAAGCGCGAUUUUGACACCGAGGAAGCACUCUGGUUGCUUAAGAUAGGUCUUGUGUGCAUCCCGGAUAGCCCUAAGAUCAAGCCCUCCAUGUCAAUGGUUGCUAAGAUACUGCAAGGUGAGUGUGCUGUGAGUGACAGGAUCAUGAGGCCUGGCCUGAUCACAGACGCCAUGGACCUGAAAGUCAGGAUGGUAGAGCCGAUUCAGUUCAACUUGACAUCAUGCUCGAGCACUGCCGCACCGGACCUUGUCAGGUCCAUUUGGAGGUCCAGGAUGUCAAAAUCAAGAACAUGAGAAGCACUUUGAGCAUUUUACACCUAAUAUGAGCAAAACACGAAAUGAAUCUGCAUUUCCUCAGGAUGAAAUUGACUCACAUAGAGAGCAUAUUUAUAAUGAACUGACCUCAGAUUCAAUUGCUUCAAAGAAGCCAAAAAUAAGGAAGAGAGAAAAUAACAAUUCUGUUUCAAGUUCUGCUCCCAACAUUCCUAAUACUCAAGAUUUUAUCACUACCUUCUGUGAGGUGGUGGAGGAUUUCUGUGGAAAAACCGAAAUUCCUGAAGAUGGAAAUUGCGGUGACUGGUUGUCAAUCCCACUUGGUGAUGUUAAGGUUCUCGUGAAUGAAAUUACAUCUGUUCGAUCCAAAAGGAUAUUGCAUGAGGUUCCUAUGGAUACAGUUACAAGGUUAUUGGAUGUGAUUGAUCGUCAGAUUCGAUAUUCUCAAGGUUUGUCGAUAGAUGUGAAAGAAAAUUCAGCAUGAACAAGGUCGAGGCAUUGUACAGGUUGUUCAAGAAGAUUGGCAACACCUUCAUUGAUGAUGGGCUGAUUAACAAGGCUCUUUCAAAUGGCAAGCCCACUGUUGUUGAGUUUUAUGCAAACUGGUAUGAAGUCUGCAGGGAACUAGCUCUAGAUAUCUACAAAGCUGAACAACAAUACAAGUCUGCAGGGAACUAGACUCUGAGAACCCUGUUGCUGAUGUGGAGAGCAUUGUAGCCAAGGGCAUAAGAGAUGGUGCAAUAAAUGCCACCAUAGAUCAAGCAAAUGGCUGGAUGGUAUGGAAGGAAACUGGUGAUGUCUACUCUACAAAUGAGCCAUAGAUCAUACAAAUGAGCCCUUGAUGCCACCCAGGAUUGGGAAGACACGUGGUAUGGGAGUUGGGCGCAAGCUCAAGAGCCACCGCAGGAACCAGAGGUGGGCUGACAAAGCAUACAAAAAGCCACUUGGGCAAUGAGUGGAAAAAACCUUUUGCUGGAUCAUCUCACGCUAAGGGCAUCAUUCUGGAGAAAAUUGGUAUUGAGGCCAAGCAGCCAAAUUCGGCCAUCCAUAAGUGUGCCCGUGUUCAGCUGGUGAAGGAUGGAAAGAAGAUUGCUGCCUUUGUGCCGAAUGAUGGUUGCCUAAACUACAUCGAGGAGAAUGAUGAGGUGUUGAUUGUAGGACGAGGAGACAUUCCUGGUGUCAGGUUCAAGGUUGUUAAGGUUUCUGGUGUGUCGCUGCUUGCACUCUUCAAGGAGAAGAAGCCAAGGUCUUAGAUCACUUUUGGUAGUCAAGAAUGGUGUAAACUGCCCAAGGCUCUGUUGUCAAAGUUAAAGUUUUGCUAGCAACAGAGCUGUUAAUUCUGAGCUGUACCUUUUUGUUAACAUUGACAGUUAUGUUACAGUGUAAACUGCCCAAGGCUCUGUUGUCAAAGUUAAAGUUCUGCUAGCAACAGAGCUGUUAAUUCUGAGCUGUACCUUUUUGUUAACAUUGAUAGCUCUGUUACACGACAUUAUUAUUUC